RNAcentral lists this transfer-messenger RNA (348 nucleotides) under human gut metagenome. It matches the Rfam family "transfer-messenger RNA". From Rfam's summary of the family: Bacterial tmRNA, also known as 10Sa RNA or SsrA, is named for its dual tRNA and mRNA-like properties. The record is from RNAcentral.
GGGGGCGUAAAGGCUUCGACGGGGAUUCGGAACCGAAAUAAGCGAGCAGCGUUGCGGACACGCUUUAAACGCCGUAACUUUAAAAUUAAACGACAACAAAACUGUUGCCUACGCUGCUUAAUUAAGCAGCCGUCUUUACCCGAAGUACCGCGGUCGGGAUAAAGGCGUCGAUUAGCGGUGAACGCAAGCCGAAGGGGGUCUCGACUCGGUUUGUGAUUUAGAGGCUACCGAGCCUUUUUGCCUGUCGUUUGGCGGAAGGGUGAGGGAAUUUUAAAUAAACGACUGCGCUCGGAGAAGGUUUUGGGAAAGAGUUUUCGGACACGGGUUCGAUUCCCGUCGCCUCCACCA